ACGCGUGGAACCUUACCAGCGUUUGACAUGUCCGGACGACUGGCAGAGAUGCCUUUCUUCCCUUCGGGGACUGGAACACAGGUGCUGCAUGGCUGUCGUCAGCUCGUGUCGUGAGAUGUUGGGUUAAGUCCCCGCAACGAGCGCAACCCUCGCCUUUAGUUACCAUCAUUUAGUUGGGUACUCUAAAGGAACCGCCGGUGAUAAGCCGGAGGAAGGUGGGGAUGACGUCAAGUCCUCAUGGCCCUUACGC
This 250-nucleotide ribosomal RNA is filed under the name uncultured bacterium. Its description in RNAcentral is "partial 16S ribosomal RNA". It matches the Rfam family "Bacterial small subunit ribosomal RNA", at positions 959 to 1207 of the family's 1533-position model. The record is from RNAcentral.